This 468-nucleotide ribosomal RNA is filed under the name uncultured bacterium. Its description in RNAcentral is "partial 16S ribosomal RNA". It matches the Rfam family "Bacterial small subunit ribosomal RNA", at positions 28 to 507 of the family's 1533-position model. The record is from RNAcentral.
GACGAACGCUGGCGGCGUGCUUAACACAUGCAAGUCGAACGAUGAAAGAGGAGCUUGCUCCUCUGGAUUAGUGGCGAACGGGUGAGUAACACGUGAGCAAUCUGCCCCUGACUCAGGAAUAACUACGGGAAACUGUAGCUAAUACCGGAUAUGCGCCGAACAGGCAUCUGUAUCGGUGGGAAAGAAUUUCGGUCAGGGAUGAGCUCGCGGCCUAUCAGCUUGUUGGUGAGGUAACGGCUCACCAAGGCGACGACGGGUAGCCGGCCUGAGAGGGUGACCGGCCACAUUGGGACUGAGACACGGCCCAGACUCCUACGGGAGGCAGCAGUGGGGAAUAUUGCACAAUGGGCGCAAGCCUGAUGCAGCAACGCCGCGUGAGGGAUGACGGCCUUCGGGUUGUAAACCUCUUUUAGCAGGGAAGAAGCGAAAGUGACGGUACCUGCAGAAAAAGCGCCGGCUAACUACGUG